RNAcentral lists this transfer RNA (69 nucleotides) under Marmota monax (woodchuck). RNAcentral describes it as "tRNA.Ala". The record is from RNAcentral. Lineage: Eukaryota; Metazoa; Chordata; Mammalia; Rodentia; Sciuridae.
GAUGUAGCUCAGUGGUAGAGUGCCUACUUAGCAUGCACCAUGCCCUGGGUUCCAUUUCCAGAACCAUCA